RNAcentral lists this ribosomal RNA (253 nucleotides) under uncultured bacterium. Its description in RNAcentral is "partial 16S ribosomal RNA". It matches the Rfam family "Bacterial small subunit ribosomal RNA", at positions 524 to 776 of the family's 1533-position model. The record is from RNAcentral.
UACGUAGGGGGCAAGCGUUAUCCGGAUUUACUGGGUGUAAAGGGAGCGUAGACGGCGAUGCAAGUCUGAAGUGAAAGGCGGGGGCCCAACCCCCGGACUGCUUUGGAAACUGUAUGGCUGGAGUGCAGGAGAGGUAAGUGGAAUUCCUAGUGUAGCGGUGAAAUGCGUAGAUAUUAGGAGGAACACCAGUGGCGAAGGCGGCUUACUGGACUGUAACUGACGUUGAGGCACGAAAGCGUGGGGAGCAAACAGG